RNAcentral lists this long non-coding RNA (1863 nucleotides) under Salvia miltiorrhiza (redroot sage). RNAcentral's name for it is "long non-coding RNA (SMIL_LNC000808)". The record is from RNAcentral. Lineage: Eukaryota; Viridiplantae; Streptophyta; Magnoliopsida; Lamiales; Lamiaceae.
CUCAUUUUCAUAUACGAAUUGGAUCUAUUUUAUGUUGCUUUUCUUAUUACAUUGUGGAGACUGGAGAAUCUGGGGUAGUUGGUGACUUGGUGUAUAUAAUUUGGAAAUGUAAGAUCAUGAAUGUAUAUAUGUUGUCUUAGGGGGCAUUCGAUUGGCUGUGUUAUACAACAUAUAAAACUAAACGCCAAUAUUUGAAAUAUUAGAUCGUAACCACCGCAAAAUAUAAAGAAUCUUAGCCAGAAUUCAUGCAGAUCCAUACCCACUUUUGAACAAGUCGCCUUCCUUUUAGACCCCCUUCAUCGCCCUAUCCAAAUAUUCUACUGCUUAUCUCCGAUCAAUCUCCUUUAAACAUCCAUUAGUACUAGAAACAUUUCAUAUAGUUGGCAAGUUGGACACUUGGACUUGAAGAGAAUCUAUCAUAUUAAUUAGAAUAACAUAGUCACAUAUGUUGAAGUGUAAGAAUUCCCUACAAUUGUUGGACAAAUUGAACUAAAUAGCUGGAAUAUACUAAAAAGUUGCCUUCCCAUAUCUACUAACUACAAAACAUAGGAAAUGCUUCAGCCCUCUCCCUGUUCUUUUUUUCCAAUCACUCUAUUCCUGAUAGCUCAGAAUUUUGGUAUUAGGCGCUUCAAGUUAUAGUGUAAUUUAAUAAUUUAAACAACUUAUGUGAACAUAUCAACUAGUAUAUUAACAAAUAUGCGAACAAAUUAUAUGUUCUGCAACAUGUUUCUGAACCUUUCCUUAUAUACUACAUCAUCUAAAUAUACUUGUGCCUUUUGAUAUAGUUUAAUUUGUAAUGUGAAUUGCUUGAUGUGGUUUCUCUUUGUUGUUAUACUCCAUUUUUAGGUUGCAAACUACGGUGAAGGACUUUGUUGGGUGUUGCUUUACUUUCUAAAAGAUUGUGAAAAAAGAGAAUGAUAAGUGAGAAACAAAAAGAGGUGGAAAUGGUGGUGAUUCAAAUAAGAUAGAAUUAUUAUUCUAUUGUUGCUGUUAAGUCUCUCAUUUUUCAUAUGAAAACUGUUGGUUUUUACUUAAGUUAGUGUAGCAUGUCAGCUCUAUGUUAUUGAAACUCACUCUAAUUAGCAAAUUCAUACAUUUACACUAUAAUAUGUGUAGUUGAAUGCCAUAAUUUAUCUUAUCAUGAUUAAUCAACCAAAGAUAAACGUUUUUGAUUUUAUUGCAAAUGAUUAUUAUGCAGUUUUGGGUCUGGUAAUAAUAAAAAUCUCGAAUUCAAAUUUAUUUAGUUAAUCUUGAUGUAUUAGGAUUUCCCAAUUUGUCUGUAUUUUUUUGUGUCUUCUAUUAUGCUGUCAUAAAAAAAAAUUAUAAAAAAAUUGAGACGUAUGGGUUAGUCUACUUUCAAGAAAUUGUGCUUGCUUUAGGCUCUUUUGUUAUCAUGCAGAUUCCUUUCAUUUUAGUGACAAGAGAUACAUCAUUGGCCGUUGGAUUUGGCAAAUAUGUAGGAAACUAUUACUACUAUAGAACAAGGUAUGCAUUGAGGCUGUGAAUCACAAGCUGAGUCGAGGAGAUGAGAACGCCAUGGGAGCCGAGGAGACGUUGGUGGACCGGACGAAACCAUUCCUCACAGACGUCCACAGCUGCUCCCAGAAUCUGACCUCGAGCUGUGAAUCAUAAGUUGAGUCCUCAUAGGCAUUGAGGCAGUCGAGGUAGAGUAGGAGAUGCAUUUAUAUUGAUGUAUUUGAAAAUAUGUUGGGAGAUGCAAUUUUUGUUGUGUAUUUAGAAAUAUGGUGGAAAUACAAGUGAUGGUGUAAAUACAAUGAGGAGAUCUGCCUUUUUUAUGUUGUGUACCUCUUGUUACUACAUACGAAAUGAAAGAGAUCAUUACAAUUUAAAUUCUCAACUUUG